Molecule: long non-coding RNA, 680 nt
Organism: Calliphora vicina (urban bluebottle blowfly)
Lineage: Eukaryota; Metazoa; Arthropoda; Insecta; Diptera; Calliphoridae
Exons: 3
Source: RefSeq, a predicted model, not a curated record
ACAACAUACAGAGUUACUCACAUGCCUACACCAAUUAAACUUGCAAGGUUUUUAGCAUUUAUUGCGAGUGGUGGCCAAAAAGCUUUCGAUAGUGAAUAUGAGACUUCCAUGUCAAAAUCCCAAGUGUCUAAAAUAAUAUGCGAAAUGUUAGACAUCUUUCAGGAACAUUUGUAUUCAAAGUGGGUGCAAUUAGAUCGAAACCAAGAAGAUGAAAACGUGACAAAAGAACAAGUUUACAAUAGUACUGGAAUACCGGGAGUAGUAGGAUGCGUUGAUAAUACACAUAUACGGAUAAAGACACCAGACAAGCAGGUGAAACAUCUUUACAACAACUCUAAAGGGUUUUAUAGCUUGAAUGUGAUGGUAAUCUGUGAUUAUAAUAUGGUCAUAACACAUGUAGACGCUAGUCAACCGGGAACUUAUCAAGAUGCAUACGUUUGGGAGCAGAGCUUUGCAGAUAGCUACUUCAGCACAAAUUACUCAGAGGGGAAAUGCAAUACUUGGCUUCUUGGUGAUUCUGCUUAUAAAUUGCUUCCAUACUUGUUGACUCCUUAUAGAAAUCCUGUAGAACCAAAUCACAAAUUAUUCAAUCAAAAACACUCCAAGACAAGAAAUAUAAUUAAGCAGUGUUUGCAUUUAUUAAAAAACCGUUUCAGCUGCCUAAUAGCUUCCACAGGGUU